CCCGGCAGGUAUAUAAACGCAUGCAUACAAGUAAUAAUAUCGCGCACUCAAAUUGUCAAAGCAACUGCCAAGAAUUCGGAUUUGUUAUCAUCAUAACCAGAACAAUGUCGUCUGUCCGGAUAUUAGUUGUCCUCAUGGUUGUGUGCAUCCUCGCAGGGAGUUUAGUGCAACAGGCAGAAGCCCAGUGUUAUUGUAAAGACUCUCGCUGUGGCUGGAACGAGUGUUACAUAGGAAGAUGUGGAAGGUGGAACAGGGGCUAUUGGUGCUGCCAUCGCAAUAGCGAUGAGUGUCAAUAAUGGUUAUCAAGUUUUGGAACACCAAAACUACUUGUUUUGGAACAAGCAGUAUUAAAUAAAACAGACUUGAAACUUGUAUGCGUUAAUGUGUGUAUUCAAUUUUAUUUGAAUAAUAAUCAAAUUUCCAACAUAAUAUUCC
Molecule: long non-coding RNA, 435 nt
Organism: Dreissena polymorpha
Lineage: Eukaryota; Metazoa; Mollusca; Bivalvia; Myida; Dreissenidae
Exons: 4
Source: RefSeq, a predicted model, not a curated record